This 627-nucleotide ribosomal RNA is filed under the name uncultured bacterium. RNAcentral describes it as "bacterial SSU rRNA". It matches the Rfam family "Bacterial small subunit ribosomal RNA", at positions 57 to 728 of the family's 1533-position model. The record is from RNAcentral.
GCAAGUCGAGCGAUUGCCUUCGGGUGAUAGUGGCGCACGGGUGCGUAACGCGUGGGAAUCUGCCCUUAGGUUCGGAAUAACAGCUGGAAACGGCUGCUAAUACCGGAUGAUAUCGCGAGAUCAAAGAUUUAUCGCCUGAGGAUGAGCCCGCGUUGGAUUAGGUAGUUGGUGGGGUAAAGGCCUACCAAGCCGACGAUCCAUAGCUGGUCUGAGAGGAUGAUCAGCCACACUGGGACUGAGACACGGCCCAGACUCCUACGGGAGGCAGCAGUGGGGAAUAUUGGACAAUGGGCGCAAGCCUGAUCCAGCAAUGCCGCGUGAGUGAUGAAGGCCCUAGGGUUGUAAAGCUCUUUUACCCGGGAAGAUAAUGACUGUACCGGGAGAAUAAGCCCCGGCUAACUCCGUGCCAGCAGCCGCGGUAAUACGGAGGGGGCUAGCGUUGUUCGGAAUUACUGGGCGUAAAGCGCACGUAGGCGGCUUUGUAAGUCAGAGGUGAAAGCCUGGAGCUCAACUCCAGAACUGCCUUUGAGACUGCAUCGCUUGAAUCCAGGAGAGGUCAGUGGAAUUCCGAGUGUAGAGGUGAAAUUCGUAGAUAUUCGGAAGAACACCAGUGGCGAAGGCGGCUGA